CGGAAAGAGAGGGAUCGAC
RNAcentral lists this transfer RNA (19 nucleotides) under Arbusculohypopterygium arbuscula. RNAcentral describes it as "Arbusculohypopterygium arbusculum partial tRNA-Ser". RNAcentral also lists the same sequence under 1 other name. The record is from RNAcentral. Lineage: Eukaryota; Viridiplantae; Streptophyta; Bryopsida; Hookeriales; Hypopterygiaceae.